CAGCCGCCGCGGGAAUACGAAGGGUGCAAGCGUUAAUCGGAAUUACUGGGCGUAAAGCGUGCGUAGGCGGUUUGUUAAGUCUGCUGUGAAAUCCCCGGGCUCAACCUGGGAAUGGCAGUGGAUACUGGCAAGCUAGAGUGUGUCAGAGGAUGGUGGAAUUCCCGGUGUAGCGGUGAAAUGCGUAGAGAUCGGGAGGAACAUCAGUGGCGAAGGCGGCCAUCUGGGACAACACUGACGCUGAGGCACGAAAGCGUGGGGAGCAAACAGGAUUAGAUACCCCAGUAGUCCCUGUCUCUUAUAC
RNAcentral lists this ribosomal RNA (301 nucleotides) under uncultured bacterium. Its description in RNAcentral is "partial 16S ribosomal RNA". It matches the Rfam family "Bacterial small subunit ribosomal RNA", at positions 509 to 807 of the family's 1533-position model. The record is from RNAcentral.